This 390-nucleotide ribosomal RNA is filed under the name uncultured bacterium. Its description in RNAcentral is "bacterial SSU rRNA". It matches the Rfam family "Bacterial small subunit ribosomal RNA", at positions 29 to 417 of the family's 1533-position model. The record is from RNAcentral.
AUUGAACGCUGGCGGCAUGCUUUACACAUGCAAGUCGAGCGGCAGCGCGGGGGCAACCCUGGCGGCGAGCGGCGAACGGGUGAGGAAUACAUCGGAACGUACCCCGGAGUGGGGGAUAACGCCGCGAAAGCGGCGCUAAUACCGCAUAUGCUCUGAGGAGGAAAGUGGGGGACCGCAAGGCCUCACGCUCUGGGAGCGGCCGAUGUCCGAUUAGCUAGUUGGUGAGGUAAAGGCUCACCAAGGCGACGAUCUGUAGCGGGUCUGAGAGGAUGAUCCGCCACACUGGAACUGAGACACGGUCCAGACUCCUACGGGAGGCAGCAGUGGGGGAAUUUUGGGACAAUGGGGGGCAACCCUGAUCCAGCCAUGCCGCGUGAGUGAAGAAGGCCU